GACGAACGCUGGCGGCGUGCUUAACACAUGCAAGUCGAACGGAAAGGCCCUGCUUUUGUGGGUUGCUCGAUUGGCGAACGGGUGAGUAACACGUGAGUAACCUGCCCUUGACUUUGGGAUAACUUCAGGAAACUGGGGCUAAUACCGGGUAGGAGCUCCUGCUGCAUGGUGGGGGUUGGAAAGUUUCGGCGGUUGGGGAUGGACUCGCGGCUUAUCAGCUUGUUGGUGGGGUAGUGGCUUACCAAGGUUUUGACGGGUAGCCGGCCUGAGAGGGUUACCGGCCACAUUGGGACUGAGAUACGGCCCAGAAUGCUACGGGCGGCAGCAGUGGGGAAUAUUGCACAAUGGGCGGAAGCCUGAUGCAGCAACGCCGCGUGCGGGAUGAUGGCCUUCGGGUUGUAAACCGCUUUCGCAUGUGCCGAAGAGUGCGUGACGGUAAUGGGUAAAGAAGCAACGGCUAACUACGUG
RNAcentral lists this ribosomal RNA (468 nucleotides) under uncultured bacterium. Its description in RNAcentral is "partial 16S ribosomal RNA". It matches the Rfam family "Bacterial small subunit ribosomal RNA", at positions 28 to 507 of the family's 1533-position model. The record is from RNAcentral.